RNAcentral lists this non-coding RNA (326 nucleotides) under Sclerotinia borealis. Lineage: Eukaryota; Fungi; Ascomycota; Leotiomycetes; Helotiales; Sclerotiniaceae. The record is from RNAcentral.
UAGGAAAGUCCGAAGCUUGUCCAACUAAAACUCAUAUUGAAGAGAGUAAAAGUAAAAAUUUUGGUAUUAAAGAGAAAAUAAAGUCCAUCUUUUUAUAGUUAUAUUUAUAACUAUCCCCUAAAUUUUUUCCUUUUUUUUAGAAUAAAUCUAUAUACGUAAUAAUAAGAUUGUUUCUAAAAAAAAAGGAAAAAAUAAAGCGGGAAAUGUAUUAAUAAAAAGAUUUAUGUUUCUUUUUUUUUAUUAUAGGCAGUAAAAGAAGGUUGUGAAACCCCAAGCCAAGGUUAAGCCUUAUUUUAGUUUAAUAACUAAGACAGGAUCCGGCUUAA